RNAcentral lists this long non-coding RNA (1006 nucleotides) under Chinchilla lanigera (long-tailed chinchilla). RNAcentral describes it as "lncRNA (ENSCLAG00000029231.1)". The record is from RNAcentral. Lineage: Eukaryota; Metazoa; Chordata; Mammalia; Rodentia; Chinchillidae.
CCCACAGCCUAGGCCAGGGCUAAUUAGACGCAGCAGCCGCCUGCUUAGCUGCAUAGUGUGCUGCUAAGUGACCGCAUGAGGCUUGGCAGUGUGGGAAUCCAGGGCUGCAUCAUCAGGGACCAGAAAUGAACCACAGGGUCUGCAGAUAAAGGACUGAGAACUACAUGGCACCAUUCAGGUGGAGUAACUGACCAGUACUGUGGCUGCCCAUCACCCACCUGUUCCAGGGACCACAGAUCUUGACAGAGAAGAAGGACCACUGCCCAGGGAACACCAGCUCUGCAGGGUGGGAAGGGGGUGCAGCCUGUCUUUGGCCCACCCAGAAGAGCCAUCUCUACCCUGGGACGUGAAUAUACUGCAGGACCAGAUUGGGCGGCACUGGCCAGCACCAACCAGCCCUGGGACUCUUGUUCGACACCUGCCUCUUAUGGGAGCUGCUGAGCUGAGGGCACAGCAUGGCUGGCAACCAACUUUUCCUGACCUGGCCAGGUCCCACCAUGAAUGAAAAAGUAUUUCCAAUAAGACAAAUCUGAAUCUUCCAUGGCCUGAAACCUGCCAACCAAUCUCUCGACCUUUUGAGACAUGUGUGCCAAUAAAUUCCACUUACUGACAUUUCUUUAUGUUUUCUCACACAGAAAAGCUGAUGCUGAUAACUUCAAGUUUUUAUGUUUUUUCAUACACAGGGUAUAAUUCGUUCUUUAACAUAUUUCUGAACACAUGAUGUCCAGUAGCCACCUCACUGGGCACCUAAGCGUCCAGCUUGCAUGACAGUAAUAACACUCAGAGCUGGUAUGUUUUGGUCAGCACCUUCACCUUCAAAGUUGUGUUUCAAUAAUGGCUGGGAUCCUUAUCCCAAAGAUAGGUUUCAUUUUUUCAUAACAACAAUGAAAACUAAAUAGUUCCAUCAAGCUCAGAAUCAUGAGUAGAAGUGUGUUUGAUUUUAAAGGCUGAUUAAAAACAGUUUGAAGAGAGAUGUCUGAACAGCUUGAUGUCAGCAAGAACCCAG